This 79-nucleotide transfer RNA is filed under the name Firmicutes bacterium HGW-Firmicutes-4. Its description in RNAcentral is "tRNA-Trp". The stretch from base 1 to 70 matches the Rfam family "tRNA". Rfam says of the family: Transfer RNA (tRNA) molecules are approximately 80 nucleotides in length. The record is from RNAcentral. Lineage: Bacteria; Bacillati; Bacillota.
AGGGGUAUAGCUCAGUUGGUAGAGCAGUGGUCUCCAAAACCACGUUUGAUAGACAAAACUUCGAUUCUUAUGAGUCGAA